AGCUGGUCCGAGUGCAGUGGUGCUUACAACUAAUUGAUCAUAACCAGUUACAGAUGCCUUUGUUCCUUCUCCACUCCCACUGCUUCACCUGACCGGCCUUUU
Molecule: Y RNA, 102 nt
Filed under: Prolemur simus (greater bamboo lemur)
Lineage: Eukaryota; Metazoa; Chordata; Mammalia; Primates; Lemuridae
Description: Y RNA (ENSPSMG00000016945.1)
Rfam family: Y RNA
About the family: Y RNAs are components of the Ro ribonucleoprotein particle (Ro RNP), in association with Ro60 and La proteins. The Y RNAs and Ro60 and La proteins are well conserved, but the function of the Ro RNP is not known. In humans the RNA component can be one of four small RNAs -- hY1, hY3, hY4 and hY5.
Source: Rfam by way of RNAcentral